Molecule: small nucleolar RNA, 74 nt
Filed under: Euglena gracilis
Lineage: Eukaryota; Euglenozoa; Euglenophyceae; Euglenales; Euglenaceae
Description: Eg-m72.2
Source: RNAcentral
UGAUGUUUCCAGACGUCUGUUGCCGAGCUUCUGCCCUGAGGAAAACUUCUCUCGCUACUACAACCAAUAUGAAG